RNAcentral lists this ribosomal RNA (253 nucleotides) under uncultured bacterium. RNAcentral describes it as "partial 16S ribosomal RNA". It matches the Rfam family "Bacterial small subunit ribosomal RNA", at positions 524 to 776 of the family's 1533-position model. The record is from RNAcentral.
UACGUAGGGUGCGAGCGUUAAUCGGAAUUACUGGGCGUAAAGGGUGCGCAGGCGGAUAAUUAAGUUAGAAGUGAAAUUCCCGGGCUUAACCUGGGCAAGUCUUUUAAGACUGGUUAUCUAGAGUUUGUCAGAGGGGGGUGGAAUUCCAAGUGUAGCAGUGAAAUGCGUAGAGAUUUGGAGGAACACCAAUGGCGAAGGCAACCCCCUGGGAUAAAACUGACGCUCAUGCACGAAAGCGUGGGUAGCAAACAGG